AUCCAUCCCGCUCAGAGGUCCCUCAGUGUCACCACUGAGGCUCAGAUUAGACAGUGACAAUUAUUUCCUUUCUGGCUAUUGCGCCCCGCCCCCUUUCCCUGGAGGGAGCAAGGGGGUAGACCAAUCUCCUGGGACCUAAGAAUAGAUGCAGGAGGAUCAGAGGAGGCAAACAGGCUCUGGCCCUGGAAAGGCCCUCUCCGCGCCUUACAUGGCCUUGUUUAAGGCUGAGCAAAAACCCAGAGGGUGGGGAGAGAACAAAAUGUGAGUGGAGCUGCCUUGCCAAGGCUCGGGCCGCCUAAGGCUAGCACUCUGCAUUCUCUGAUGGAAACAUCUCCCUUACAGGGGGCAGAUUGAGGUGGAAGGGUGGACAGGUGCCUGGGUGCUCUACCCACCCUACCCCACCCCAAGCGUUUGUGUCCAGGCUCUCAUCUUGGGUUCUGGGAUAUCUGGCAGUGGAAGACAAUCACAGCGGCAAGGCUGUAGGUGCUAAGCACCUCUCUCUGCUCUCUGGAGCAGCUCACAGGAAAAACAAAAGGCUCCUGAGAGGACCCGUCCCCGAGGAUCAUGAAAUCCCUUUUCCUUUUACUCAUUUGUGUCAUAUUCUCCCAUUGGCCCAGCAACUGACAGGUGCAUGGGACUCUAGGUCCCUUCCAGGGUCCCCUCUGAGCCAUUUAUCUCUCACUCAGGUAUCUAGCAGACCUCGCUGUGCAUAGAAGACGAAUAUGAUCAACAGAAACCCUUCCUGACAGCUCCAAAGAGAACCCCUUCCGAUGCAUAUUCUAUUGAGCACAUCUCAGAGAGGCUGACAGUCUCUUAACAAUUAAACUCCACAUCCCAGGCUUCAGAGACACCACAAAUCUCCCUACCUAAUAAAUCACUGCCCCCAGUUAUUGUUAAAUGUCCCGUCAGUCUCUAAUAAACUCCCUGCCAAAAGGGACAGGUUAUUUAUUA
This is a long non-coding RNA of Peromyscus californicus insignis, 951 nucleotides long. RefSeq lists it as uncharacterized. The record is from RefSeq and is a predicted model, not a curated record. The transcript has 2 exons. NCBI's taxonomy places the organism in Eukaryota, Metazoa, Chordata, Mammalia, Rodentia, Cricetidae.